Molecule: transfer RNA, 73 nt
Filed under: Solirubrobacterales bacterium
Lineage: Bacteria; Bacillati; Actinomycetota; Thermoleophilia; Solirubrobacterales
Description: tRNA-Val
Rfam family: tRNA
About the family: Transfer RNA (tRNA) molecules are approximately 80 nucleotides in length. Their secondary structure includes four short double-helical elements and three loops (D, anti-codon, and T loops). Further hydrogen bonds mediate the characteristic L-shaped molecular structure. tRNAs have two regions of fundamental functional importance: the anti-codon, which is responsible for specific mRNA codon recognition, and the 3' end, to which the tRNAs corresponding amino acid is attached (by aminoacyl-tRNA synthetases). tRNAs cope with the degeneracy of the genetic code in two manners: having more than one tRNA (with a specific anti-codon) for a particular amino acid; and 'wobble' base-pairing, i.e. permitting non-standard base-pairing at the 3rd anti-codon position.
Source: RNAcentral
GCGCCGUUAGCUCAGUUGGGAGAGCGCCGCCUCGACAAGGCGGAGGUCGCUGGUUCGAGCCCAGCACGGCGCA